AAGGCCAGUUUCAGCCUAAGUUCUUCAAAAUUUUUGUCAAAAGACUUCAAUCUAAUCAGUUCCUAAAAAUUGUCCACUUUCUCAUGAGAAAUAACCUCGUAAGCCUGAUUUUGAAGCUUCACGCAAAUCAAACUCCAUUCUGGUGAAUGUUAAGAUAUGCUUCCAACUUUCCCGUUGCUGCCAAUAUGAAACCUAAAAAAAGCGGUGAGGGCCUUCGGGGACGUGAUUUGAACUCUGGAUGAAAUUGCACGCCUACAUAAAAAGGAUGACUUGGAAGCUCUAAAAUCUCCAUUCUAUUUCCUGUUUCAUCCUUCCCAACAAACUUCAAGCCUUUUUCUUCUAGAGCACCAAUUACCUGAGGGUUUACCUCAUAUCUAUGCCGAUGCCGUUCAUCUACAUAUUGAGGAUUACCAUACAGUUUGGCAGUAAUACAGUCAGGGGUCUGGAGUAAUGUCUUCCGGGAUCCUAGUCGCAUUGUGCUUCCCAUGUGUGUUGUUGAAC
Molecule: unclassified non-coding RNA, 501 nt
Filed under: Hevea brasiliensis (rubber tree)
Lineage: Eukaryota; Viridiplantae; Streptophyta; Magnoliopsida; Malpighiales; Euphorbiaceae
Source: RNAcentral